CCCAGGUCAGGCGGGGCUACCCGCUGAAUUUAAGCAUAUCAAUA
RNAcentral lists this ribosomal RNA (44 nucleotides) under Saponaria officinalis (common soapwort). Its description in RNAcentral is "partial 28S ribosomal RNA". The record is from RNAcentral. RNAcentral also lists the same sequence under 11 other names. Lineage: Eukaryota; Viridiplantae; Streptophyta; Magnoliopsida; Caryophyllales; Caryophyllaceae.